UCUCCUGGAAACGGGUGGUAAUGCCGGAUGUUCCACAUGAGCGCAUGCGAGUGUGGGAAAGGCUUUUUGCGGCAUGGGAUGGGGUCGCGUCCUAUCAGCUUGUUGGUGGGGUAACGGCCUACCAAGGCGUUGACGGGUAGCCGGCCUGAGAGGGCGACCGGCCACAUUGGGACUGAGAUACGGCCCAGACUCCUACGGGAGGCAGCAGUGGGGAAUAUUGCACAAUGGGCGCAAGCCUGAUGCAGCGACGCCGCGUGCGGGAUGGAGGCCUUCGGGUUGUAAACCGCUUUUGUUCAAGGGCAAGGCACGGUUUCGGCCGUGUUGAGUGGAUUGUUCGAAUAAGCACCGGCUAACUACGUGCCAGCAGCCGCGGUAAUACGUAGGGUGCAAGCGUUAUCCGGAUUUAUUGGGCGUAAAGGGCUCGUAGCGGUUCGUCGCGUCCGGUGUGAAAGUCCAUCGCUUAACGGUGGAUCCGCGCCGGGUACGGCGGGUUGAAUGCGGUAGGGAAAAUGGAAUUCCGGGGAACGGGGGAUGGGUAAAUCGGGAAAAAACC
This 553-nucleotide ribosomal RNA is filed under the name uncultured Bifidobacterium sp. RNAcentral describes it as "bacterial SSU rRNA". It matches the Rfam family "Bacterial small subunit ribosomal RNA", at positions 146 to 707 of the family's 1533-position model. The record is from RNAcentral. Lineage: Bacteria; Bacillati; Actinomycetota; Actinomycetes; Bifidobacteriales; Bifidobacteriaceae.